AUGUAUAUAAUAAUUUUCAAGAUGAAAAAAAUUAUCUCAGAGAAGUUUAGCCACUUACCCAAGAUAACCCAACUAGUAGUCGGUACAGUUUCAACCAGGUCUGAGUCCAAAACAAAUAACAUUUUAUUUAUUUUUCAGCAGAUACUUCAAGAUCAGGCACCCAAGAUUCGCUGUCCCUCAACAUUUCUCUACAUUGUUAAAAGGGAACUCAGAAUCAAGUAUGAAGAAGAGCUCAGCUCUUAGAAACAUAGGACCAUCUGGCACGCAUUAUGAAUAGUACGUAUUUUUGAGAAAAAAAAAUCCAACCAAGAUUUCGUCUGGAGGAAAACUUCAUAACACAGUACAUGAAUCAGUCAGAAUGUUGCUACAUUCAUUGCUACAUGUUUUUACUGUUUUUGUUUUAAUGUGACCAUGGAAACAUGGAAAGCAGCUAAUAAAUCUUUGAUGAUACUCA
This is a long non-coding RNA of Leptonychotes weddellii (Weddell seal), 454 nucleotides long. RefSeq lists it as uncharacterized. The record is from RefSeq and is a predicted model, not a curated record. Lineage: Eukaryota; Metazoa; Chordata; Mammalia; Carnivora; Phocidae.